ACUUGGCAGGUGCUGACGGCCACCGUGACCCUUGAUCUUGCACCCAACUCUGAAGCCGAGACCUUGUUUUCUAUAUGUCUGCGAAGUGACAAGCAGUCCUGGAUAAAUAAUAAAUCAUGUACAAGGUUUCUGUGGCUGGAUAACUGGACUGAGCAGGAGUACUGGGGAGUGAGAGCGAUAUGCUGGGUAUUGGUGCAGUGAGGCAGCAAAAAGCCUGCUGAUCAAGCCUUCUCUUCACAUCCUGCCUCCUUGACUCCAUAACCCCGUUCAUCAGUUAUCCUCCUUACUGCCUCAUCUGCCUCCCUGGUUAUGUCUACACUGCAAAACCAAAACAAAACCCCCCACAGCAGCAAGUCUCAGUCUCUGAUCCAUUGUCUCAGGUUUGUGGUAUGGCACUCAGAAUAGCAAUGUAGACAUUCCCUCCCACUCAGGUUGGAGCUCAGGCGCUGAGACCCACCCUCCUCACCAGAUUUCAUAGCCUGAGUGGGAGCGUCUACACGACUACGUUUAGCAUGGUAGCACAAACCUCACAAGCCUGAGUCUGUAGACCUGGGCUCUAUGACUCUGCCAUGGUUUAUUUUGUUUGCUUGUUUGUUUGCAGUGUCAGUGUACCCCCUGGCUUCUCUGCCUGCUAGCUCAGACGCUGUUGCUCAUCCCAAAGUUACCUACAGUCUACACAAAUCUGAAGUCUCUUCACUCUUAGUGUUGUAAAUUAUUGACAUCAGAAAUUCAAAUCAUGAAGCUGAAGUUACAGAAAUAGUUAUUUACACUAAGAGAAGGAGUUCUCUGCAUGAAUAAUUUGAGUCUCUCCUUUUGUGUCUUUGAUAAACACUUGAGUAUUAGCUGGUUGAGAGGUACGCCUAGUUGUUUUUAUGUCUCCCCCAAGCCUUCCAGAGAUUUGCUAAGAUACACUAGCAAUAAAGUGGCUUUCCAUUCUGUCAAAUGUAGGAAGUCGGUCAGAGAAAGAAGCUGCUCCUUAGAGAGAUAGGUUGCGAUGAAACACAGGUUGAUGGUGUCAAGAUUGGAUAAUGAGACAUUAUCAGUGCAUCUCACUGUAAGUUCUCACAGUCAUUUUGAAAAUAUAAUAAAGCUUGUUAGCUAUCACGUUCAAAUAA
Long non-coding RNA from Chelonia mydas (Green sea turtle), 1115 nucleotides. RefSeq lists it as uncharacterized. The record is from RefSeq and is a predicted model, not a curated record. The transcript has 2 exons. NCBI's taxonomy places the organism in Eukaryota, Metazoa, Chordata, Testudines, Cheloniidae.